RNAcentral lists this long non-coding RNA (1726 nucleotides) under Homo sapiens (human). RNAcentral describes it as "LHRI_LNC1064.1". The record is from RNAcentral. Lineage: Eukaryota; Metazoa; Chordata; Mammalia; Primates; Hominidae.
GGUCAUAAUAUGUAUGAAUGAGUGGCCCAGUCGUCCAUGAAAUCCAUUGGUGUUCCACUGAUGCCUCUCCCUCAAUUAACUAUUGCAGCUGCUGUACCAGUUAAAGCAGUCUAUAACCGCUUACAGAGAAGGGAAAAGGUGAAGCUUGGUUCAUAGACGGAUUUACUCUUUAUGCGGUGCAAGCUAGAAAUGUAUUACUAUUGCAUUACAAACAUAUCUGGGAGUGGCCCUGAAAUACAGUAGGGGCAUGGGAAAUUCUCCCAGUGGACAAAGCUGUAGGAUUGAGUAAAAUAUACAUAUGAACUCAUAGACAGUGGUGAAUAUUUUGGCUGUCUGUUCAGGGGCAUAGAAAAUGAAAUAUUGGGCUGGACGCAUGUGGCUAGACCUAAGAAGCCUUAGAGAGCUUGAGUGUAAAUUGUGAAGAUCUUUGUAUCAAAUGGUUGUAAUAAUCCAUCAUGGAAUAAGCACUAAACAAUCAAGGAGAAGAACCAGCCAUCUUCUUCAUCCACCAACCACGUGCUGGCACAAUGAACAGCAUGAACAAUGAACAGCAUGACCAUGGCAGCAGGGAUGAAAGCUAUGCAUGGGCUCAACAAUGUGGCCUCCCUCUUACGAAGACUGAUCUAGCUCCUGCUAUUGCUGAAGAUUCAACCUGCUGGCAACAGAGACCAAAGGAAAUAGGACCAAUCAGAAUCCCAGAAAACCUGUCUGGAGUAAACUUAUAUGAAGCAAGUGAAUCCAAAAGGGACAAUGGUGAACUGCAGUGGAUGCCGUAGCUCAUUACCCAGAGUCCACCUUCUGGGACAGCAGUACCUAGCUGCUGGGAUUGUUGCCUGCUGAUGGCUCGCAGUUGAAUCACUCCCCUGCAAUUGCCUUCAAAAGGGAACUGCCGUGACCAUGGUUAUGCUCCGUUUCUAGUGGGGAAUUUCAUAUCCAAUUAGUGGUCUAUGUGUAGGCGCAAAGGUCCAGUCACCUCUACUAAUUCAGGAUAUCUCUGAAGCACUAUCUCAGCUUCAGAGCUCUCCAUGGGAGUGACUGAGACCUCAUAACACAGGAUAAGUGCUCCCUUUGCCUAAUCUUGCUUCCCUUACUUCAUUGGAGGUGUUGUUCCCAAGAUCAUUUCCAUAAAACAUUUGCACUCAGUCUCUGAUUCAGAGUCUGUUUUCUACAGAUCCUGACCAUGUAAAAUACAUUAAUUUGACUUUUAAAAUAACAGGGUAUGUUAAAACUAGUUCUACCUAAAAAAUUGAAGUGAGCAAUUGAUUAGUAAACGUAAUUAUAGUAAGCAGUCGAAAGAGUUUAUUUAGUUCCUCUAGUCUCCCGGCCUUUUUUUUUUUUUUUUAACUUAAGCAAGAGUUCUUUCUUUAAAAUAUUUUUUAAAAAUUGACACAUAAUAGUUGUACACAUUUAUGGGGUACAUGGUGGUGUUGUGAUACAUAUAAUGUAUAGUGAUCAGAUCAGGAUAAUCAGCUAUCCAUCACAUCAAAAAUUUAUAAUUUUUUUUGUGUUGGGAACAUUCAAUGUCCUCCUUUUAGUUAUUUGAAACUAUACAAUAUAUUCUUGUUAACUAUACUUAUCUUAUACUACUAUAGAACACUAGAACUUAUUUCUCCUAUCUAGCUGUAAUUGUAUACUUUUUUUUUUGUAUACUUUUUUUUGGAGAUGGAGUGCUGCUCUGUUGCCCAGGCUAGAGUGCAGUGGUGCGAUCUUGGCUUGCUGCCACCUC